CAAUUUCUAAAUGCAAAUACUCGGUACUUUUUUUCUAAGAAUAAGACGAAUGCGCUUAGGAAUGAAGAAAAUGUAAAAUUGAAUAAAGAAGCCAAUGUUCCAAGCACCAGUGCCUGCUCUUUAACUGCAGAGGUACGAAUAACCAUCGGUGCUAAGGCACCGCUUAAAAUAAAGGAAUACUACCUCACAUCUACCUACUUCCAAUUAUUAUUGUUUCUGAGAUCUCUUAUAUGUUCACACCGGAACGUUCACAUAUGCGACUUGAAAAUUGCAAUCGCUGAUUUCUUCUCAUCUUCCACUUUUCACACCUUGAGCUUAGUAAGGGUGACACAAGUGCAUGCCAUCUACCCCGAGGAGAGAGAUUUGUACUCACUGGAUCGUGAAAAUGACUGUUAACAUUGACCAACAAAAUUAUCCAGAGAGUGGUUAGUUACGCACGUUCAAUACUCUAAUUAUUCGGUUGUUGGUUUUUGGACCUAAUUAGAGAGAAGCCUUUGUAAACCGCUUACGCCGGCUAAAGGCUUUUGAAUGCAUUGCACACUGCUUGCAUAUUUUGGUACGAAGAGUAUACAGUAUGUCAUCCUCUGCGUUCGACGGCCUGAUUUUAGCUGGUCCUAUAAAUAUGAAUUUUUCAAUUAUUCUCCUUCUCAUGUGUUUUUCUGCCUGCCCAUUGGUAUUAUCACAGUUGCUUCAUAUGAAUCAAAAUAGCUUUAUAGAAAUAAGAGCGUCCGUUUUUCUUUGCUGACUUUUUUUAAAGUGCUCAAUGCUCAACGCAUGUAACCUUUCAAGUCAAAAUCAGUUUAUUAAUUAUCUUAAGUAUCAUUUAAAUUUAUAACAGGUCUGAGAAUAAUUUGACCACAACUCGAGAUUAAUCUUGACGUUUAAAAUAAAGCUAAAUACCAAAUUUACAAUUUUUAAGCUCGUGAUUUCAGUGAGAUCUUCUCUGGGACUAAAAAAGAAACAACAAGAACUCAAAAUACGUAACGGUAAAAAAGUGCAGUUAAUAAUUACGUGAGGUUAAACAUUUUUCCUUUAUUUAAAUAGG
RNAcentral lists this long non-coding RNA (1045 nucleotides) under Bemisia tabaci. RNAcentral describes it as "lncRNA ENSASIAIIG010925". The record is from RNAcentral. Lineage: Eukaryota; Metazoa; Arthropoda; Insecta; Hemiptera; Aleyrodidae.